UACGGAAGGCAGCAGGGGGAAGUAUUGCACAAUGGGCGCAAGCCUGAUGCAGCCAUGCCGCGUGUAUGAAGAAGGCCUUCGGGUUGUAAAGUACUUUCAGUCGUGAGGAAGGUGUUAAGGUUAAUAACCUUAGCAAUUGACGUUAGCGACAGAAGAAGCACCGGCUAACUCCGUGCCAGCAGCCGCGGUAAUACGGAGGGUGCGAGCGUUAAUCGGAAUUACUGGGCGUAAAGGGCACGCAGGCGGUUAAUUAAGUUGGAUGUGAAAUCCCCGGGCUUAACCUGGGAAUGGCAUUCAAGACUGGUUAGCUAGAGUCUUGUAGAGGGGGUAGAAUUCCAUGUGUAGCGGUGAAAUGCGUAGAGAUGUGGAGGAAUACCGGUGGCGAAGGCGGCCCCUGGACAAAGACUGACGCUCAUGUGCGAAAGCGUGGGGAGCAAACAGGGAUUAGAUA
Molecule: ribosomal RNA, 451 nt
Filed under: uncultured bacterium
Lineage: Bacteria
Description: bacterial SSU rRNA
Rfam family: Bacterial small subunit ribosomal RNA
Source: RNAcentral